This 64-nucleotide transfer RNA is filed under the name Perissonemia borneenis. RNAcentral describes it as "tRNA-His". The record is from RNAcentral. Lineage: Eukaryota; Metazoa; Arthropoda; Insecta; Hemiptera; Tingidae.
AUUUAAGUAGUUUAAGUUAGAAUAUUAAUUUGUGAUGUUAAAGGUAAAUUUUAUUUCUUAAAUC